Molecule: ribosomal RNA, 426 nt
Filed under: uncultured bacterium
Lineage: Bacteria
Description: bacterial SSU rRNA
Rfam family: Bacterial small subunit ribosomal RNA
Source: RNAcentral
GUGAGGAAUUUUCCGCAAUGGGCGAAAGCCUGACGGAGCAAUGCCGCGUGAAGGAUGAAGGCCUAUGGGUUGUAAACUUCUUUUCUCAGAAAAGAAUUAUGACGGUAUCUGAGGAAUAAGCAUCGGCUAACUCUGUGCCAGCAGCCGCGGUAAGACAGAGGAUGCAAGCGUUAUCCGGUAUGAUUGGGCGUAAAGCGUCUGUAGGUUGUUUAAAAAGUAUUCUGUCAAAGAUUAGGGCUUAACCCUAGAUAGGCAGAAUAAACUUUUAAGCUAGAGGUUGGUAGAGGCGGAGGGAAUUCCCGGUGGAGCGGUGAAAUGCGUAGAUCUCGGGAGGAACACCAAAGGCGAAGGCACUCUGCUGGGCCAAUACUAACACUGAGAGACGAAAGCGAGGGGAGCAAAUGGGAUUAGAAACCCUAGUAGUCC